RNAcentral lists this ribosomal RNA (537 nucleotides) under uncultured bacterium. RNAcentral describes it as "partial 16S ribosomal RNA". It matches the Rfam family "Bacterial small subunit ribosomal RNA", at positions 355 to 902 of the family's 1533-position model. The record is from RNAcentral.
UGGGGAAUAUUGCACAAUGGGCGAAAGCCUGAUGCAGCAACGCCGCGUGAGGGACGACGGCCUUCGGGUUGUAAACCUCUUUUAGCAAGGAAGAAGCGAAAGUGACGGUACUUGCAGAAAAAGCGCCGGCUAACUACGUGCCAGCAGCCGCGGUAAUACGUAGGGCGCAAGCGUUAUCCGGAAUUAUUGGGCGUAAAGAGCUCGUAGGCGGUUUGUCGCGUCUGCUGUGAAAACCCGAGGCUCAACCUCGGGCCUGCAGUGGGUACGGGCAGACUAGAGUGCGGUAGGGGAGAUUGGAACUCCUGGUGUAGCGGUGGAAUGCGCAGAUAUCAGGAAGAACACCGAUGGCGAAGGCAGAUCUCUGGGCCGUAACUGACGCUGAGGAGCGAAAGGGUGGGGAGCAAACAGGCUUAGAUACCCUGGUAGUCCACCCCGUAAACGUUGGGAACUAGUUGUGGGGUCCAUUCCACGGAUUCCGUGACGCAGCUAACGCAUUAAGUUCCCCGCCUGGGGAGUACGGCCGCAAGGCUAAAACUU